This 431-nucleotide ribosomal RNA is filed under the name uncultured bacterium. RNAcentral's name for it is "bacterial SSU rRNA". It matches the Rfam family "Bacterial small subunit ribosomal RNA", at positions 29 to 506 of the family's 1533-position model. The record is from RNAcentral.
ACGAACGCUGGCGGCAGGCCUAAAACAUGCAAGUCGAACGCUCUAGCAAUAGAGAGUGGCGCACGGGUGAGUAACACGUGGGAAUAUGCCUUUUGGUACGGAACAACUCCGGGAAACUGGAGCUAAUACCGUAUGGUCCCUUCGGGGUAAAGAUUUAUCGCCAAAAGAGUAGCCCGCGCUGGAUUAGCUAGUUGGUGAGGUAAUGGCUCACCAAGGCGACGAUCCAUAGCUGGUCUGAGAGGAUGAUCAGCCACACUGGGACUGAGACACGGCCCAGACUCCUACGGGAGGCAGCAGUUAGGAAUAUUGGACAAUGGGGGCAACCCUGAUCCAGCCAUGCCGCGUGAGUGAUGAAGGCCUUCGGGUUGUAAAGCUCUUUAGCCGACGAAUAUAAUGACUGUAGUCGGAGAAUAAGCCCCGGCUAACUUCGU